UUGAGAUUGAUGAGGAAAUGUAAGUAGAUUUAAAAACAUACUUUAAGAGAGCUGUAUAUGGUGUGAUUCAGUAGUGAUGUUUAAAUUGAAUGGAUUUCUGAGAUUUAGAAAGAAAAUUAGUAUUUCUAAACGUUAGUUCCACGUUAUAGGAACAGGAUAUUUAUAUAUCUUUAUUUGAGAGAAAACUUAGUUUUCUAAAAUUUAGGUGGUACCGCGUGUAUUUUCGCCCUAAAC
RNAcentral lists this non-coding RNA (234 nucleotides) under Clostridium acidisoli. RNAcentral describes it as "T-box sequence". It matches the Rfam family "T-box leader". From Rfam's summary of the family: Uncharged tRNA acts as the effector for transcription antitermination of genes in the T-box leader family. Lineage: Bacteria; Bacillati; Bacillota; Clostridia; Eubacteriales; Clostridiaceae. The record is from RNAcentral.